Molecule: small RNA, 358 nt
Filed under: Pongo abelii (Sumatran orangutan)
Lineage: Eukaryota; Metazoa; Chordata; Mammalia; Primates; Hominidae
Description: processed transcript
Source: RNAcentral
CUGUUUCAGUGAUGGGAGUAAACACUGUGCAGUGGGUGUCUCUUCUAGUUCAGAUGUUCUCUGGACUGAGAUCACCUGGUAUGUUUUUUUUCCAGAAGGCUGCUAAGGCAGCCCAGGAGAAGAGACACUCGCCUAUGGGGACAUGAACCACGAGUGGAUCGGCAACGAGUGGCUCCCCAGCCUGGGCCUACCCCAGUACCGCAGCUACUUCAUGGAGUGCCUUGUAGACGCUAGGAUGCUGGACCACUUGACCAAGAAAGACCUUCGAGGGCAGCUGAAAAUGGUUGACAGUUUUCACAGAAACAGUUUCCAGUGUGGAAUUAUGUGCCUGAGAAGGUUAAAUUAUGACCGGAAAGAA